RNAcentral lists this long non-coding RNA (2019 nucleotides) under Gossypium raimondii (Peruvian cotton). RNAcentral's name for it is "long non-coding RNA (GRAI_LNC006898)". Lineage: Eukaryota; Viridiplantae; Streptophyta; Magnoliopsida; Malvales; Malvaceae. The record is from RNAcentral.
CUGAAUACUUUGUAACAUAUAACAUCAAAAUCAAGUCUUCUAUAUAUGCCAUAAUUUAGAAAUAUUGAUUACAAAAUACCAAAAGUUGUGGAUAGCGUAGAUGAGUUCCCGACUAUUUCCAAAUUCCGAGCUGAACUGGUAACACUAUAAAACAAGGGAAAAGAAAGAGGAGUAAACAUAUAGCUUAGUAAGUAAGUAUGUAAUUAAUAAACAAGUUUCUAGCAUGUUUCUCUAGAUAAUAUAAUCUUAAUCACACAUAAAUUCACUAUUUAUUCAAGUUCCAGCAAGCUGUUUAUUUGCGUCACAGUCAUUAAAUUAUUUUUAUCCAGAGCUACAGAACUCCAAAUUAAGAUCUGUAAAUUUUCCCUGAAACUAGACUCAUAUAUAUUCUUACCAUAAAAUUUUCAGAAUUUUUGGUUUAGCCAAUUAGUACAGUUUAUUCUUUAAAGUUUCCCCUGUUUCACUGCUUAACAGUUCUGACCCCUCUUCACUAAAAAUUAAUUAUCUCUUUGUACAGAAUUCAAAUGAUGUUCCCGUUUGUUUCUCUUGAAAGUAGACUCAUUUAAAAAUUUAAGAAUUUAAAUUAAAAACUAUAAUUAUUUUUGUACAAUUUUUAGUGAAUUUCCAAAGUCGGAACAGGGGAUUUCGAAAUCAUUCUGACCCUGUCUUACUAAAAUUCAAAUAUCUCAAAAUAUCUAACUCUUUUACUUAUUCUGUUUCCUUUAUGUGAAAAUAGACUCAUUCAGCUUUAAUUUCAUAUCUCAUCAAACCCCUAAUUCAAUUUCCACCAUUUUUGAUGAUUUUUCAAAGUUACACAACUGCUGUUGUUCAAAACUAUUUUAUUUCUAAAUUUACUCUUUAAUAGUUUUAAUACUUCAUAUCAUCUUACUAAAGGGUCGAUUAAAUAUCGAAUCCAAUAUUCAUCACGUAAUCUUAUCCAUUUCACAUGUACUUUCACUUGUCCAAUUUCCCCGAUGAACACUUCGGAAUAUUGACCGUUACUCGGUGGAAUCAGCACUUAGCAACCACCUUAUAUUCAGUGAUACGGGGAAUCAACACAUAACAACCCCUUUCACAAUCAAGGAUACAGUAGAAUCAGCACUUAGCAACCACCUUUAGAAUCAAUAAUUCGGGGAAUUAACACUUAGCAACCCCUCGGGGAAUCUGCACUUACCAACCCCUUUUUGAUCAGUGAUUUGGGGAAUCUGCACUUAGCAACCCUUUACAUUCAAUGAAUCCCAGUCUGAUCCGAGUGUUCAAUCGAGAACCUUAUUUUACAACAUUUUACCAAAUUUUUCAAAUUUAACCACAUUGUUGUAAUCUACAUCAAAUAUUUAUUCUAUAUUCAAUCAUAUCUCAACAAUAUAUUAAAUAAAAUUAAAAUAAUGCAUUAUUCACAUACAAACUUAUCUCGGUGCAAAAUAUAGUUAUUUUGCAGUUUAGUCUACGAUCUUUUCCUUUCCCCGAUUGAGAUUGAUUCCACGUUCUUCUUGAUCUAUAAUAUCAAAUUUAGCUUGUUUAAUAUUCACAUUUAUCAAAACAGUCCUCGACUCAAUUUUUGGCAAAAUUAUGAUUUUACCCCUAAACUUUUGCAUAUUUCCAAUUUUGUCCCAAAGCUCGGAAAUUAAACUUCAUCUCUUAUUCUUAUGUUUUAUGACAUGCUGUUCAUUUUUCCCUUCUAUGGUAACAUCAAAUUCCCACUCUAACACUUACUUAUAAACAUUAGGUAUUUUUACCGAUUUUGAUGUUUUACUCGUUUUCACUUAAAAUCGCUUAGCAAAAGUUGUGUAACAUAAUUCCAAGCUUCAUAUUCUACCAUAAAGCAUCAAAAUAAACACAUUUCACCUAUGGGUAUUUUUCCAAAUAUGAACCCUAGGUUAAAUUAUUGCUAGAAUAAGCUAAAUUAAGUUAUCGGGACUCCAAAAACGUAAAGAAAAUUAAAAACGGGGUUUGGGAUCACUUACUAUGGAGCUUGGAAGCUUGAAACCCUAACUAUGGCUCCCCCUUGUAAAGUUUGAC